GUGACCUCAAAUCAGGUAGGACUACCCGCUGAACUUAAGCAUAUCAAUAAGCGGAGGAAAAGAAACUAACAAGGAUUCCCCUAGUAACUGCGAGUGAAGCGGGAAAAGCUCAAAUUUAAAAUCUGGCAGUCUUUGGCUGUCCGAGUUGUAAUCUAGAGAAGUGUUAUCCGCGCUGGACCGUGUACAAGUCUCCUGGAAUGGAGCGUCAUAGAGGGUGAGAAUCCCGUCUUUGACACGGACUACCAGGGCUUUGUGAUGCGCUCUCAAAGAGUCGAGUUGUUUGGGAAUGCAGCUCAAAAUGGGUGGUAAAUUCCAUCUAAAGCUAAAUAUUGGCGAGAGACCGAUAGCGAACAAGUACCGUGAGGGAAAGAUGAAAAGAACUUUGGAAAGAGAGUUAAACAGUACGUGAAAUUGCUGAAAGGGAAACGCUUGAAGUCAGUCGCGUCGUCCAGGGAUCAACCUUGCUUUUGCUUGGUGCACUUUCUGGUUGACGGGUCAGCAUCAAUUUUGACCAUUGGAAAAAGAUUAAGGGAAUGUGACAUCUUUGGAUGUGUUAUAGCCCUUGGUUGUAUACGAUGGUUGGGAUUGAGGAACUCAGCACGCCGCAAGGCCGGGUUUAACCACGUACGUGCUAGGAUGUGCU
This 643-nucleotide ribosomal RNA is filed under the name Cortinarius aurantiobasis. RNAcentral describes it as "eukaryotic LSU rRNA". It matches the Rfam family "Eukaryotic large subunit ribosomal RNA", at positions 1 to 627 of the family's 3401-position model. Lineage: Eukaryota; Fungi; Basidiomycota; Agaricomycetes; Agaricales; Cortinariaceae. The record is from RNAcentral.